GGUUGUGGCUCAGUGGUAGAGCACUCACUUAGCAUGCAUGAGGCACUGGGUUCGAUCAUCAGCACCG
RNAcentral lists this transfer RNA (67 nucleotides) under Marmota monax (woodchuck). RNAcentral describes it as "tRNA.Ala". Lineage: Eukaryota; Metazoa; Chordata; Mammalia; Rodentia; Sciuridae. The record is from RNAcentral.